AGGCAGCGUCUCCGACUAUGGCCGCACCAGACGGGGAGAAACCUGUGUGGAGCUGGGGUACCGGGGAACCGCGGCCUACGCUGCCGUCCCUGGGACUGGGUUCAUCACCACGUGCAACAACCAGAUAUCAAGCACGUUUUCAAACCUUUUUCUGUGGGCCACGAUGGCAUCUACCGAUCCAAGAGGGACUUUUUAGCCACUGUCCAGGGUCUCUUCUCACUCCGCGACCAUCCCAAGAAUGAACUUCGAGAACAGCCUUGAUACGGAAAAGCCGGUGGAGACAGAGAAUGGCAAUUCCACCCUUUUGACUUUGACAGCGUCAGGAAUAGCAUGGACUGGUGGUUGAAUACGAGGCUCGGCCCCUUAGGGCACCGCUGGGCAGCACUGUCUCCAUCCUUCAUAAUCGUCAGCUGCUUGGCUUCUGGUGGGCCAGCCUCAUGCUGCUCCUCAAUACUGGAGGUUGUGGAGGUCAGAGAGAGAGAGAGAGAGAGAGCCCUGCACUGAAAUCAGGAAGCCCGAUUCCAAUCACUAGUGACUGAAUCACCAACUAGUGCUGAGACUUUGGAAGUCAUGGCUGCUCUCUGAGUGUCCGUUUCCUCGUCUAUAAAAUGGGGUAAAUACCCUGUCCUUCCUACUCACCUAACACAACAUGGAUGUGAAAGCCCUCCAAACCCCUAGCAUUUGUAAGGGGACAGCUUUGUAUGAAUCUGAUUAGGAUGAAACAGGUGAUGCCUGCCUGGAGCCAAUUGCUGACCAGUUUCAUUAACCCGAUCUGUCCCCACCCUGGGACAAUGAGAAGGUCUGAGGCAUCCAAAAAAGCAGGAGGCAAAAUUCCCUCAGUGGGCCUGACACCAAGAUGGUAGAGUCACUAUUUAACACCUGGUUUAUGUGACCCAAACUCUUCAAUCACCUACCUGGACCUCCAUUGCCUGUUCUACAAUGGGAUAGCAUUGCUGUUUUGGUGAGAGCAACAUGAGAAAACGAUACAAAGUGCUGUCACUGUAAAGCUACAAGAAAACCAGGGUAUUCUUGCCAUCUGCACGACCCAGGAGAAAUACAACUCCUAAAGCAUGGCUUCCAGCUUAGGGGUCCCAUCCCCUCUCACAGAGAUGUGCAUUUUAACAGAGGUUUGGGAUCCCCAGGAACCACCAGGGAAACAGAUUCCUCUUGUGUCCUUGUCAGCCUGGUCUUGCCUUGGUCCAAUUCUGGUUUGGACAAUUAACUGGAGAAGGUGAGGUUGAGACUGAUUACCGCCACCCCUGGGAGGAGGAAAGGGACACGAGAAUAUGAAAUGAGGAACUAUGAAAGAGGACCUUCCAAGCACUGAUGGCAGCAUGAGGUUGAGUGGCCCCCACCACCAAAGAAGGAGCAAAAACCCUCAAUAAAUAGCAUUUGUCCUGGG
Molecule: long non-coding RNA, 1402 nt
Organism: Leopardus geoffroyi (Geoffroy's cat)
Lineage: Eukaryota; Metazoa; Chordata; Mammalia; Carnivora; Felidae
Exons: 2
Source: RefSeq, a predicted model, not a curated record